This 397-nucleotide ribosomal RNA is filed under the name uncultured bacterium. Its description in RNAcentral is "partial 16S ribosomal RNA". It matches the Rfam family "Bacterial small subunit ribosomal RNA", at positions 523 to 918 of the family's 1533-position model. The record is from RNAcentral.
AUACGUAGGGGGCGAGCGUUGUCCGGAAUGAUUGGGCGUAAAGGGCGCGUAGGCGGCCCGGUAAGUCUGGAGUGAAAGUCCUGUUUUUAAGAUGGGAAUUGCUUUGGAUACUGUCGGGCUUGAGUGCCGGAGAGGUAAGUGGAAUUCCCAGUGUAGCGGUGAAAUGCGUAGAGAUUGGGAGGAACACCAGUGGCGAAGGCGACUUACUGGACUGUAACUGACGCUGAGGCGCGAAAGUGUGGGGAGCAAACAGGAUUAGAUACCCUGGUAGUCCACACUGUAAACGAUGAAUGCUAGGUGUAGGGGGUAUCGACCCCUUCUGUGCCGCAGUCAACACAAUAAGCAUUCCGCCUGGGGAGUACGGCCGCAAGGUUGAAACUCAAAUGAAUUGACGGGG